CCUACGGGUGGCAGCAGUAGGGAAUGUUGCGCAAUGGGCGAAAGCCUGACGCAGCAACGCCGCGUGAUCGAGACGCCCUUCGGGGUGUAAAGAUCUGUCAGUGGGGACGAAACGUGACGGUACCCACAGAGGAAGCACCGGCUAACUCCGUGCCAGCAGCCGCGGUAAUACGGGGGGUGCAAGCGUUGUCCGGAAUCAGUGGGCGUAAAGAGUGCGUAGGCGGCACGUAAAGUCUGGUGUUAAAGGCAGAGGCUCAACUUCUGUACGGCACUGGAUACUUGCGAGCUAGAUUGCGGUAGAGGUAACGGGACUUCCUGGUGUAGCGGUGUAAUUCUUAGAUUUCAGGAGGAACCUCGGUGGCGUACGCGCUUUACUGGGCCGUAAUUGACGCUGAGGCACGAACGCCAGGGUAGCAAAUGGGAUUAGAUACCCCUGUAGUC
Molecule: ribosomal RNA, 440 nt
Filed under: uncultured bacterium
Lineage: Bacteria
Description: partial 16S ribosomal RNA
Rfam family: Bacterial small subunit ribosomal RNA
Source: RNAcentral